GCUUAACGCGAAGAACCUUACCAACCCUUGACAUGUGUAUCGCGGUUCCAGAGAUGGUUCCUUCAGUUCGGCUGGAUACAACACAGGUGCUGCAUGGCUGUCGUCAGCUCGUGUCGUGAGAUGUUCGGUUAAGUCCGGCAACGAGCGCAACCCACACUUUCAGUUGCCAUCAUUCAGUUGGGCACUCUGGAAGAACUGCCGGUGAUAAGCCGGAGGAAGGUGUGGAUGACGUCAAGUCCUCAUGGCCCUUACGGGUUGGGCUACACACGUGCUACAAUGGUGGUGACAAUGGGUUAAUCCCCAAAAGCCAUCUCAGAUCGGAUUGGGGUCUGCAACUCGACCCCAUGAAGUCGGAAUCGCUAGUAAUCGCGUAGCAGCGUGACGCGGUGAAUACGUUCCCGGGUCUUGUACACACCG
RNAcentral lists this ribosomal RNA (417 nucleotides) under uncultured bacterium. RNAcentral describes it as "bacterial SSU rRNA". It matches the Rfam family "Bacterial small subunit ribosomal RNA", at positions 954 to 1392 of the family's 1533-position model. The record is from RNAcentral.